CCUACGGGAGGCUGCAGUGAGGAAUAUUGGUCAAUGGACGAGAGUCUGAACCAGCCAAGUAGCGUGAAGGAUGACUGCCCUAUGGGUUGUAAACUUCUUUUAUAAAGGACUAAAACGAGGCACGUGUGCCUUUUUGCAUGUACUUUAUGAAUAAGGAUCGGCUAACUCCGUGCCAGCCGCCGCGGUAAUACGGAGGAUCCGAGCGUUAUCCGGAUUUAUUGGGUUUAAAGGGAGCGUAGAUGGGUUGUUAAGUCAGUUGUGAAAGUUUGCGGCUCAACCGUAAAAUUGCAAUUGAUACUGGCAGUCUUGAGUACAGUUGAGGUAGGCGGAAUUCGUGGUGUAGCGGUGAAAUGCUUAGAUAUCACGAAGAACCCCGAUUGCGAAGGCAGCUUACUAAACUGUGACUGACAUUGAUGCUCGAAAGUGUGGGUAUCAAACAGGAUUAGAUACCCCUGUAGUC
This 460-nucleotide ribosomal RNA is filed under the name uncultured bacterium. RNAcentral describes it as "partial 16S ribosomal RNA". It matches the Rfam family "Bacterial small subunit ribosomal RNA", at positions 338 to 795 of the family's 1533-position model. The record is from RNAcentral.